This 434-nucleotide ribosomal RNA is filed under the name uncultured bacterium. Its description in RNAcentral is "partial 16S ribosomal RNA". It matches the Rfam family "Bacterial small subunit ribosomal RNA", at positions 39 to 507 of the family's 1533-position model. The record is from RNAcentral.
GGGGGGGGGGGGGGGGGGGGGGGGGGGGGGGGGGGGGGGCGGAGCGGUCGGGGGGGGGGGCGGGCGGGGGGGUAGCGCGUGGGGACGUGCCUUUAGGGUCGGGAUAACUCAGGGAAACUUGUGCUAAUACCGAAUGUGCCCUUCGGGGGAAAGAUUUAUCGCCUUUAGAGCGGCCCGCGUCUGAUUAGCUAGUUGGUUGAGGUAAUGGCGCACCAAGGCGACGAUCAGUAGCUGGUCUGAGAGGAUGAUCAGCCACAUUGGGACUGAGACACGGCCCAAACUCCUACGGGAGGCAGCAGUGGGGAAUCUUGCGCAAUGGGCGAAAGCCUGACGCAGCCAUGCCGCGUGAAUGAUGAAGGUCUUAGGAUUGUAAAAUUCUUUCACCGGGGACGAUAAUGACGGUACCCGGAGAAGAAGCCCCGGCUAACUUCGUG